This 497-nucleotide ribosomal RNA is filed under the name uncultured bacterium. RNAcentral's name for it is "partial 16S ribosomal RNA". It matches the Rfam family "Bacterial small subunit ribosomal RNA", at positions 28 to 507 of the family's 1533-position model. The record is from RNAcentral.
GAUGAACGCUGGCGGCGUGCCUAAUACAUGCAAGUCGAGCGAACAGACGAGGAGCUUGCUCCUCUGACGUUAGCGGCGGACGGGUGAGUAACACGUGGAUAACCUACCUAUAAGACUGGGAUAACUUCGGGAAACCGGAGCUAAUACCGGAUAAUAUAUUAAACCGCAUGGUCCAAUAGUGAAAGACGGUUUUGCUGUCACUUAUAGAUGGAUCCGCGCCGCAUUAGCUAGUUGGUAAGGUAACGGCUUACCAAGGCAACGAUGCGUAGCCGACCUGAGAGGGUGAUCGGCCACACUGGAACUGAGACACGGUCCAGACUCCUACGGGAGGCAGCAGUAGGGAAUCUUCCGCAAUGGGCGAAAGCCUGACGGAGCAACGCCGCGUGAGUGAUGAAGGUCUUCGGAUCGUAAAACUCUGUUAUUAGGGAAGAACAAAUGUGUAAGUAACUAUGCACGUCUUGACGGUACCUAAUCAGAAAGCCACGGCUAACUACGUG